Molecule: ribosomal RNA, 253 nt
Filed under: uncultured bacterium
Lineage: Bacteria
Description: partial 16S ribosomal RNA
Rfam family: Bacterial small subunit ribosomal RNA
Source: RNAcentral
UACGAAGGGAGCUAGCGUUGUUCGGAAUCACUGGGCGUAAAGCGCACGUAGGCGGUUAUGUAAGACAGAUGUGAAAUCCCCGGGCUUAACCUGGGAACUGCAUUUGUGACUGCAUAGCUAGAGUACGGUAGAGGGGGAUGGAAUUCCGCGUGUAGCAGUGAAAUGCGUAGAUAUGCGGAGGAACACCGAUGGCGAAGGCAAUCCCCUGGACCUGUACUGACGCUCAUGCACGAAAGCGUGGGGAGCAAACAGG